AGCGAACGCUGGCGGCAGGCCUAACACAUGCAAGUCGAACGAACCUUUCGGGGUUAGUGGCGGACGGGUGAGUAACACGUGGGAACGUACCUUUAGGUUCGGAAUAACUCAGGGAAACUUGUGCUAAUACCGAAUGUGCCCUUCGGGGGAAAGAUUAAUCGCCUUUAGAGCGGCCCGCGUCUGAUUAGCUAGUUGGUUGAGGUAAUGGCUCACCAAGGCGACGAUCAGUAGCUGGUCUGAGAGGAUGAUCAGCCACAUUGGGACUGAGACACGGCCCAAACUCCUACGGGAGGCAGCAGUGGGGAAUCUUGCGCAAUGGGCGAAAGCCUGACGCAGCCAUGCCGCGUGAAUGAUGAAGGUCUUAGGAUUGUAAAAUUCUUUCACCGGGGACGAUAAUGACGGUACCCGGAGAAGAAGCCCCGGUUAACUUCGUG
RNAcentral lists this ribosomal RNA (434 nucleotides) under uncultured bacterium. RNAcentral's name for it is "partial 16S ribosomal RNA". It matches the Rfam family "Bacterial small subunit ribosomal RNA", at positions 29 to 507 of the family's 1533-position model. The record is from RNAcentral.